CCCUGGAAUUGCUUUCCUAAUACUGACCGUAUUGAACUUCUUGUUAUGGGGUAGUGACAGCACAGGGGCCAUUCCCUUUUCGUUGUUUGUCAUUCUCAUUUUACUUUGGUUCUGUAUCUCCGUCCCCCUAACAAUGAUCGGUGGCUACAUUGGGGCAAAGGCACCUCACAUUGAAUAUCCAGUCCGAACCAACCAGAUUCCACGUGAAAUUCCACCACAGAAAUAUCCAUCUUGGCUUUUGGUUCUCGGUGCAGGCACACUUCCUUUUGGUACUCUUUUCAUCGAGCUCUUCUUCAUCAUGUCCAGUCUCUGGAUGGGUCGUGUCUACUACGUCUUCGGCUUCCUCCUCAUCGUUAUGGUCCUCCUUGUCGUCGUUUGUGCUGAGGUGUCUCUUGUCCUAACCUACAUGCAUCUAUGUGUUGAGGACUGGAAAUGGUGGUGGAAGUCAUUCUUUGCUUCCGGCUCAGUCGCUAUAUACAUUUU
This 483-nucleotide long non-coding RNA is filed under the name Capsicum annuum. RNAcentral's name for it is "long non-coding RNA (CANN_LNC013377)". Lineage: Eukaryota; Viridiplantae; Streptophyta; Magnoliopsida; Solanales; Solanaceae. The record is from RNAcentral.